Long non-coding RNA from Alosa sapidissima (American shad), 238 nucleotides. RefSeq lists it as uncharacterized. The transcript is spliced from 2 exons. The record is from RefSeq and is a predicted model, not a curated record. NCBI's taxonomy places the organism in Eukaryota, Metazoa, Chordata, Actinopteri, Clupeiformes, Clupeidae.
ACACACACAAAACCAUUACACCUUACCAUUAGAGAUCAUGGGAUAUGUUCAACAGAAACACAAAACAACAAUAUUGCAAUUUCCUACGUAAACAAGAAGAAAGGUAAGACAGACAUUGUCGUGUUCGUCGUGUUUUCUAACAUGUUCAAAGGGCUGCCUCACUUACAUGCAGAACAGCACAGUCAACGUCACAGACAAAAAUUGACAUUUUUUAUCUAAAACUAACUGCAACUGUACA